This 253-nucleotide ribosomal RNA is filed under the name uncultured bacterium. Its description in RNAcentral is "partial 16S ribosomal RNA". It matches the Rfam family "Bacterial small subunit ribosomal RNA", at positions 524 to 776 of the family's 1533-position model. The record is from RNAcentral.
UACGGAGGGUGCAAACGUUGCUCGGAAUUAUUGGGCGUAAAGCGCACGUAGGCGGCCGAAUAAGUCGGGUGUGAAAGCCCUGGGCUCAACCCAGGAAGUGCACUCGAUACUGCUCGGCUUGAAUAUGGAAGAGGGUUGCGGAAUUCCCGGUGUAGAGGUGAAAUUCGUAGAUAUCGGGAGGAACACCAGUGGCGAAGGCGGCAACCUGGGCCAAUAUUGACGCUGAGGUGCGAAAGCGUGGGGAGCAAACAGG